Poeciliopsis prolifica (blackstripe livebearer) is the source of this 427-nucleotide long non-coding RNA. RefSeq lists it as uncharacterized. The record is from RefSeq and is a predicted model, not a curated record. The transcript has 4 exons. NCBI's taxonomy places the organism in Eukaryota, Metazoa, Chordata, Actinopteri, Cyprinodontiformes, Poeciliidae.
GGAACUUUCCACAGGAAAGAAAGUCAACUGAUGCAACCGCCAUUAGAGGACUUCCGUGCAACGGGAAGUAAGAAGGAUCGGUUGUUCCCUCCCACCUGGAAGCCCGGCUCGCACUGACAGGAGAAGGACCCGGGGACGUUGACGCAGCGAUGCUGGCAGUACCUGAACCUGCACUCGUCUAUGUCUGGAGGAUCUGAGCCAAGAAGUAAACUACACAGUGAAAAGCCAAGUGGAGCAGAGGGAGCGGAGCAGACAGCAGGCUAGUCGGGCAGCUGUGACGUUUUAUGGCCUGUACCACACAGCUGGGAUAGAGGAUGACGACCAUCAACCUUUUCAGUGAGGAAGGAAAUGGAGGAAAACUCACGGGUGAAUCUUCCCCAGUGGGUCCCGUUUCGCCUCCCGCUGACCGGUGUGCGCGUCCGCUGGC